AGCAGCUUGGCGCAGUGGAAGCGCGCCGGGCUCAUAACCCGGAGGUCACUGGAUCGAAACCAGUAGCUGCUA
Transfer RNA from Fusarium fujikuroi IMI 58289, 72 nucleotides. It matches the Rfam family "tRNA". From Rfam's summary of the family: Transfer RNA (tRNA) molecules are approximately 80 nucleotides in length. Their secondary structure includes four short double-helical elements and three loops (D, anti-codon, and T loops). The record is from Rfam. NCBI's taxonomy places the organism in Eukaryota, Fungi, Ascomycota, Sordariomycetes, Hypocreales, Nectriaceae.